Molecule: ribosomal RNA, 1095 nt
Filed under: Triticum aestivum (bread wheat)
Lineage: Eukaryota; Viridiplantae; Streptophyta; Magnoliopsida; Poales; Poaceae
Description: partial small subunit ribosomal RNA
Source: RNAcentral
AUGGGCGGGGUCACGUCCACCAUCGCCGCGCGCUUCGCCUUCUUCCCGCCCACGCCGCCCUCCUACACGCUCGUCGCCGACGCGGCCACCGGCCGCCUCCUCAUCCCCGAGAUCUCCCGGCCCCCCGCGCGCCGCCGGAGGCGGGACGGCGGCGGGGACUCCUCCUCAGGUGCCGCCGCAGCAGCCGAGGAGGAGGACGCCACGGAGGUGGUGCGCCUCCGCACGCGCCGCGGGAACGAGAUCGUCGCCGUCUACGUGCGCCACGCGCGGGCCUCCGCCACGCUGCUCUACUCCCACGGCAACGCCGCCGACCUCGGCCAGAUGUACGGCCUCUUCGUCGAGCUCAGCCGCCGCCUCCGCGUCAACAUUUUCGGGUAUGAUUAUGCUGGUUAUGGGAGGUCUACAGGGAAGCCCACUGAGUAUAAUACAUAUGCAGACAUUGAAGCAGCAUAUAACUGCCUCAAGGAAAAAUAUGGUGUGCCAGAUGAGGAUAUAAUUUUGUAUGGACAAUCUGUUGGAAGUGGUCCAACCAUUGAUCUUGCUUCACGGUUGCCAAAUUUGCGAGCUGUGGUUCUUCACAGUCCUAUUUUAUCUGGACUGAGAGUGCUAUAUCCAGUCAAAAAAACUUUUUGGUUUGACAUUUACAAGAAUGUCGACAAAAUCAGCCUGGUGAAUUGUCCAGUUCUUGUCAUUCAUGGCACGUCAGAUGAUGUUGUUGAUUGGUCCCAUGGAAAGCAGCUAUGGGAGCUUUGCAAGGUGAAACAUUCGCCUUUGUGGCUAAGUGGCGGUGGGCACUGCAACCUUGAGCUGUAUCCUGACUACAUCAGGCACUUGAAGAAGUUUGUGUCGAGCCUUGGCAAAAAAUCAACGAAACCUGACUUGAAAGAGUUACCAGCAACAGAAGACACAUCUCGCAAAGACGCAGAAUCUGUGUCCUCGGACAAACCCCAAGAAGCUGCAAAGUGCCGACAGAUCUCGCGGAAGAGCUUAGAUAGUAGAGUUGGGAAAUCCAAAACGGUGGAUGUUCCUGAAAAGCCACGAAUGAGCUCAGAUGACGUUGACAAGUUUAGGAGGAGAAGAUGCUUGGUUUGGUGA